GGGCCCGUAGCCUAGUGGAUAGGGCAACUGCCUUCUAAGCAGUAGGUCGGGAGUUCGAAUCUCCCCGGGCCCG
This 73-nucleotide transfer RNA is filed under the name Microcaldota archaeon. Its description in RNAcentral is "tRNA-Arg". It matches the Rfam family "tRNA". From Rfam's summary of the family: Transfer RNA (tRNA) molecules are approximately 80 nucleotides in length. Lineage: Archaea; Nanobdellati; Microcaldota. The record is from RNAcentral.